Long non-coding RNA from Schistocerca gregaria, 592 nucleotides. RefSeq lists it as uncharacterized. Lineage: Eukaryota; Metazoa; Arthropoda; Insecta; Orthoptera; Acrididae. The transcript is spliced from 3 exons. The record is from RefSeq and is a predicted model, not a curated record.
CUAAAUUUAAGAUUAAGUCUGCCAUUCCUCAGUUUUCAAAUCAGUCUUUAAACAUUAAUCAUGUUGUUGAAAUUUUAAUUUCUGCUGCAGAAACAAACGAUUUAGACAAGGCCUUUAAAACCUAUGUGCCGAUCAGAUACCAAAGAUUUAAGCCAAAGUGGCCUUUUACUAAACUAAAAACUUUAAAGCCUGAAAAAAAAGAAGAUCAAGAUUUAAAAAAGGAUGCUUAUUCAAGUACUAUGGACAUGCCAUAACAUUCAUCCACUCAAAUCAACCUAAGGAAACUGUUUUUAAAGGCAUCUGUAUCGUUAUUGCAAAUCGACCAAAUUCAAGCUUUCUGACAUAUGUCAAUUUUCGCAUUCAUAUUCUAUAAACGCUUAUCUCUUGAGAAAGGUUCAUGACUAUGAAAAUACCUAAAUGUAUCAAUAGAAAGAUCGGCACAUGUAUUAUGCAUAUUGAGCAUGACGAACCACGUAGCCGAAUAGAUAAAUCCGCUCGAUUUCAAUGGUAUUUUUGAAAAUUUCUAACAAUUAUAUAACUUUGUCAAGCAAAUGUAUGAAGUUUACCAACAUCUCAAAUAUAAACCGAGGUG